UACGGGGGGGGCAAGCGUUGUUCGGAAUUACUGGGCGUAAAGGGUUCGUAGGUGGCCAACUAAGUCAGACGUGAAAUCCCUCAGCUUAACUGGGGAACUGCGUCUGAGACUGGAUGGCUAGAGGACCGGAGAGGAUAGUGGAAUUCCCAGUGUAGUGGUGAAAUACGUAGAGAUUGGGAAGAACACCAGUGGCGAAGGCGGCUAUCUGGACGGUUUCUGACACUAAGACUCGAAAGCGUGGGGAGCAAACAGG
RNAcentral lists this ribosomal RNA (253 nucleotides) under uncultured bacterium. Its description in RNAcentral is "partial 16S ribosomal RNA". It matches the Rfam family "Bacterial small subunit ribosomal RNA", at positions 524 to 776 of the family's 1533-position model. The record is from RNAcentral.